CCUACGGGAGGCAGCAGUGAGGAAUAUUGGUCAAUGGGCGCGAGCCUGAACCAGCCACGUAGCGUGAAGGAUGACUGCCCUACGGGUUGUAAACUUCUUUUAUAAAGUAAUAAAGUGACGCCCGUGUCCCUUUUUGUAUGUACUUUAUCAAUAAGGAUCGGCUAACUCCUGUCCAUCACCGGCGGUAAUACGUAGGAUCGGUCCCUUAUGCGGAUUUAUUGGGUUUAAAGGGAGCGUAGAGGGGUUGUUAAGUCAGUUGUGAAAGUUUGCGGCUCAACCGUAAACUUGCAAUUGAUACUGGCAGUCUUGAGUACAGUUGAGGUAGGCGGAAUUCGUGGUGUAGCGGUGAAAUGCUUAGAUAUCACGAAGAACUCCGAUUGCGAAGGCAGCUUACUAAACUGCCACUGACAUUGAUGCUCGAAAGUGUGGGUAUCAAACAGGAUUAGAUACCCCAGUAGUC
Molecule: ribosomal RNA, 460 nt
Filed under: uncultured bacterium
Lineage: Bacteria
Description: partial 16S ribosomal RNA
Rfam family: Bacterial small subunit ribosomal RNA
Source: RNAcentral